UCCCUGGUGGUCCAGUGGUUAGGAUUUGGCACUUUCACCGCUAUGGCGUAGGUUCAAUCCUUGGUCUGGGAA
Non-coding RNA from Sus scrofa (pig), 72 nucleotides. Lineage: Eukaryota; Metazoa; Chordata; Mammalia; Artiodactyla; Suidae. The record is from Rfam.